Molecule: ribosomal RNA, 1725 nt
Filed under: Triticum aestivum (bread wheat)
Lineage: Eukaryota; Viridiplantae; Streptophyta; Magnoliopsida; Poales; Poaceae
Description: partial small subunit ribosomal RNA
Source: RNAcentral
AUGGGGAAAUUGCUCAUUUUUUUGCUCUGCAUUUCCCUGUUUGAAGGGUGGAUGGUCCAGUCGGUUCCCUAUGAUUAUACCGCGAGCAUUAAGUGCUUGGGCAGCCCGAUACGAGCCCUGUACAAAGGCGGCAUCAUUGAGAACAGCGAGUUCAACAGCGGCCUGACGGGCUGGUCGGUGCCGUGGGGCGUGACGGCCAACGUGAGCAGCUCGCCGUCCGGCAACAACUUCGCGUUGGCGUCGGCGAGCAACAAUGGCCAGCCGUCGCGCAGCGUCUACCAGAAGAUCCAGAUGGAAAGCGACCACCACUACUCCCUCUCUGCAUGGUUGCAGGUUUCGUCCGGCGCGGCGGUGGUGAGAGCCGUCUUCAAGGCUCCCAACGGCGCCUUCAUCGCCGGUGGAGCCACCGUCGCCAGGUCCGGCUGUUGGAGCAUGCUCAAGGGCGGCAUGACCGCCUUUUCUUCCGGCCCAGGCGAGCUCUUCUUCGAGGCCGAUGGUAGGGUGGACAUCUGGGUGGACAGCGUGUCUCUGCAGCCCUUCUCCUUCCCCGAGUGGGAAGAGCACCGCCGUCUGUCGGCCGGCCAGGCCCGCCGGAGCGCCGUCAAGGUGGUCGCCCGGGCCGCUGACGGCGUCCCACUGCCGAACGCCAACCUGAGCGUCAAGCUCCUCCGGCCCGGCUUCCCGUUCGGCAACGCCAUGACCAAGGAGAUCCUCGACAUCCCGGCCUACGAGCAGUGGUUCACGUCCCGGUUCACCGUGGCCAGCUUCGAGAACGAGAUGAAGUGGUACAGCACGGAGUGGAUGGAGAACCACGAGGACUACACCAUCGCGGACGCCAUGCUGCGGCUCGCCGAGAAGCACGGCAUCGCGGUGCGCGGCCACAACGUGCUCUGGGACACCAACGACACGCAGGUGUCGUGGGUGAAGCCGCUGGACACGCAGCGGCUGAAGGCGGCCAUGCAGAAGCGCAUCAGCUCCGUGGUGUCGCGGUACGCCGGCAAGGUCAUCGCCUGGGACGUGGUGAACGAGAACCUCCACGGGCAAUUCUUCGAGAGCAGGCUCGGCCGCAACGCGUCGUCCGAGGUGUACCAGCGGGUGGCGCGGAUCGACCGGACGGCGAGGCUGUUCAUGAACGAGUUCGGCACGCUGGAGGAGCCCUUGGACGUGGCUGCCAUGCCCAGCAAGUACGUCGCCAAGUUGAAGCAGAUACGCUCCUACCCCGGCAACCGCGGCAUCAAGCUCGCCGUCGGCCUCGAGAGCCACUUCGGCACGCCCAACAUCCCUUACAUGAGGGCGACGCUGGACAUGCUCGCGCAGCUCCGGAUCCCCAUCUGGCUCACCGAGGUCGACGUCGGCCCGAAGGGCGCCCCCUACGUGCCGGUCUACCUGGAGGAGGUGCUGAGGGAAGGCUACGGGCACCCCAACGUGGAGGGCAUGGUGAUGUGGGCGGCCUGGCACGCGCAGGGCUGUUGGGUCAUGUGCCUCACGGACAACAACUUCAACAAUCUCCCCGCCGGCGACCGCGUCGACAAGCUCAUCGCUGAAUGGAGGGCACACCCGGAGGGCGCCACCAUGGACGCCAACGGCGUGACCGAGCUGGACCUCGUCCACGGCGAGUACAGCUUCACGGUGACUCACCCGUCGCUUGGCUCGCCCGCCGUGCGCACUUUGACGGUGGACGCGUCGUCGUCUGCGGUGGAGCACACUAUAGACAUCAAGGUGUAG